This is a long non-coding RNA of Oreochromis aureus, 292 nucleotides long. RefSeq lists it as uncharacterized. Lineage: Eukaryota; Metazoa; Chordata; Actinopteri; Cichliformes; Cichlidae. The record is from RefSeq and is a predicted model, not a curated record. The transcript is spliced from 2 exons.
AAUGCCACAGUGAUCAUUUGAUAUAUGGACCUGCAGCAGAGUUUAGGCCCAGACACGGCUAGUGACGUCAGACUGAACAACCGGAUAGUGUGAUUUGUAUCUGAGCUGGUUCCCAGUAAAGUCUGAACUGGGACUGUGUGUGAUGCAGAGAGACUUUAAACCAGAGCCAGACGUCGUCUACUCUUCACUGAAGUAGUCCACCAGUCCAACCACUGACGUCCAGCUGCUGGUCUCUAACUGGUCCCCCCAGCACCUCAGACCAGAGGACAUCCACAUGUUACAGAGAUUUUUA